Molecule: RNA transcript, 1124 nt
Organism: Python bivittatus (Burmese python)
Lineage: Eukaryota; Metazoa; Chordata; Lepidosauria; Squamata; Pythonidae
Gene: TMEM238L
Gene name: transmembrane protein 238 like
Source: RefSeq, a predicted model, not a curated record
AGCCAGCUCGACAGCGGAUGAUCCGCCAGGAAGGGCAUGGCCCGCAAUUGCUACGGGCGCUGCGCGGUCUUCUUGGGGGCCGCGCUGGUGCUGGACGCGGCUGGGCUGGCCUUGCUGUUGGCGGGCGGCGUGGGGAACCCGUCCAGAGACGGGCACUCUCUUCGGGAUUUCUUAAUGCUGACCGGGGGGAUCCUCAUCUUCCUGUCGCUGCUCUGCUGGCUGUUCUGGUAUUCGGGGAACCUGCGCGGGGUGCCGGCCGAAGAACUGCCGCUCGGGACGCGCGCGAGCUCCCCCGCGACCCGCAGCCGCGCCAGCUUCCUGCGCUUAGCGGCCAAGCUGUCCGAGCGCCUCUCCCAGCGCCACCGGCCGGCGCCUGCGCCCUGCUUGCUCUCUGCCUUCGGCCCCCCAGCGAAGACCCCGAAAACUACAGCCUCUCUCCGCCCCGACGGGCCCCUGGAACUCGGCCGCCUCCGCACGGGGCUGCCUCUUAACGCUGGGGCAACGGAGGAGCGACUGGUGUAAAGCAUCGCCGCUGAGGCUGGAGAAGAGAAACCAGGGAGACUUGGCUCAAUUCAAGUUGAAUUUUACCACUGAAAGAUCUAGUCUGACUCUAAGGGAGAAGAUAAGCCACCUGGCCAACCAUUUUUCUUCUCUGUCGUUUUGGUGUUAAAGAUCAGAUCUUCUGUUUACACUCCACAUUGCCCUUUAUGGAUGGAACUUCCUGCUGCGCCCCUGCUCCUGGAGAAGCUUGGUGCUUGGUGUGUUGGCCUUCUACUCGGCUUCGCCAGAGACAAUUCCGUCCGGUGUCACCUCUUUGGGGUAUUGUUCACACAGAUGCAGCUUUGGGUGGCACGAAAAGUUGCUUGAUCAAUGGAGUCUGUUGCCUUAGGCUUUUGAAUGACUUCUAAUGCUGUUGCCACAACUUGGUCUUUGUACUACAUUCAUUUUCCACAGCAGGCUCUGGAAUUAUUUUGUGCCCGAAAGGACUUGUCAAGACUGUGGCUGAACUGCAGCUGUGAAACUAUGCGGACAAACUGGCCUUCCCUUUGGAGCUCUUUCUCAGGAAGUUGGGAUAUGGCUAGUUGGUGCAAAUGUACUUGUUUACAAGAAAAGUGAAGAAUGGC